RNAcentral lists this ribosomal RNA (869 nucleotides) under Rhexodenticula aquatica. Its description in RNAcentral is "SSU rRNA". It matches the Rfam family "Eukaryotic small subunit ribosomal RNA", at positions 223 to 1099 of the family's 1831-position model. The record is from RNAcentral. Lineage: Eukaryota; Fungi; Ascomycota; Sordariomycetes.
CAAUGCCCUUCGGGGCUCUCUGGUGAUUCAUGAUAACUUCUCGAAUCGCACGGCCUUGCGCCGGCGAUGGUUCAUUCAAAUUUCUUCCCUAUCAACUUUCGAUGUUUGGGUCUUGGCCAAACAUGGUUGCAACGGGUAACGGAGGGUUAGGGCUCGACCCCGGAGAAGGAGCCUGAGAAACGGCUACUACAUCCAAGGAAGGCAGCAGGCGCGCAAAUUACCCAAUCCCGACUCGGGGAGGUAGUGACAAUAAAUACUGAUGCAGGGCUCUUUUGGGUCUUGCAAUUGGAAUGAGUACAAUUUAAAUCCCUUAACGAGGAACAAUUGGAGGGCAAGUCUGGUGCCAGCAGCCGCGGUAAUUCCAGCUCCAAUAGCGUAUAUUAAAGUUGUUGUGGUUAAAAAGCUCGUAGUUGAACCUUGGGCCUGGCUGGCCGGUCCGCCUCACCGCGUGUACUGGUCCGGCCGGGCCUUUCCCUCUGUGGAACCCCAUGCCCUUCACUGGGCGUGGCGGGGAAACAGGACUUUUACUUUGAAAAAAUUAGAGUGCUCCAGGCAGGCCUAUGCUCGAAUACAUUAGCAUGGAAUAAUAAAAUAGGACGUGUGGUUCUAUUUUGUUGGUUUCUAGGACCGCCGUAAUGAUUAAUAGGGACAGUCGGGGGCAUCAGUAUUCAAUUGUCAGAGGUGAAAUUCUUGGAUUUAUUGAAGACUAACUACUGCGAAAGCAUUUGCCAAGGAUGUUUUCAUUAAUCAGGAACGAAAGUUAGGGGAUCGAAGACGAUCAGAUACCGUCGUAGUCUUAACCAUAAACUAUGCCGACUAGGGAUCGGACGAUGUUAUUUUUUGACUCGUUCGGCACCUUACGAGAAAUC